UACGGAGGGUGCGAGCGUUGUCCGGAAUCAUUGGGCGUAAAGGGCGCGUAGGUGGCGGGACAAGCGUGCGGUGAAAGCUCGGGGCUCAACCCCCGAGUCGGCCGUGCGAACUGUUUUGCUUGAGCACUGUAGAGGCAGGCGGAAUUCCGGGUGUAGCAGUGGAAUGCGUAGAGAUCCGGAAGAACACCGGUGGCGAAGGCGGCCUGCUGGGCAGUAGCUGACACUGAGGCGCGACAGCGUGGGGAGCAAACAGG
RNAcentral lists this ribosomal RNA (254 nucleotides) under uncultured bacterium. Its description in RNAcentral is "partial 16S ribosomal RNA". It matches the Rfam family "Bacterial small subunit ribosomal RNA", at positions 524 to 776 of the family's 1533-position model. The record is from RNAcentral.